UCCUACGGGAGGCAGCAGUAGGGAAUCUUCCGCAAUGGGCGAAAGCCUGACGGAGCAACGCCGCGUGAGCGAAGAAGGCCUUCGGGUCGUAAAGCUCUGUUGUCAGGGAAGAACAAGUACCGGAGUAACUGCCGGUACCUUGACGGUACCUGACCAGAAAGCCCCGGCUAACUACGUGCCAGCAGCCGCGGUAAUACGUAGGGGGCGAGCGUUGUCCGGAAUCAUUGGGCGUAAAGCGCGCGCAGGCGGUCCCUUAAGUCUGAUGUGAAAUCUUGCGGCUCAACCGCAAGAGGUCAUUGGAAACUGGGGGACUUGAGUGCAGGAGAGGGAAGCGGAAUUCCAUGUGUAGCGGUGAAAUGCGUAGAGAUAUGGAGGAACACCAGUGGCGAAGGCGGCUUCCUGGCCUGUAACUGACGCUCAGGCGCGAAAGCGUGGGGAGCAAACAGGAUUAGAUACCCUGGUAGUCCACGCCGUAAACGAUGAGUGCUAGGUGUUGGAGGGGUUUACCCUUCAGUGCUGGAGCUAACGCAUUAAGCACUCCGCCUGGGGAGUACGGCCGCAAGGCUGAAACUCAAAGGAAUUGACGG
Molecule: ribosomal RNA, 587 nt
Filed under: uncultured bacterium
Lineage: Bacteria
Description: bacterial SSU rRNA
Rfam family: Bacterial small subunit ribosomal RNA
Source: RNAcentral